Molecule: ribosomal RNA, 460 nt
Filed under: uncultured bacterium
Lineage: Bacteria
Description: partial 16S ribosomal RNA
Rfam family: Bacterial small subunit ribosomal RNA
Source: RNAcentral
CCUACGGGUGGCAGCAGUGAGGAAUAUUGGUCAAUGGGCGCGAGCCUGAACCAGCCAAGUCGCGUGAAGGAUGACUGCCCUAUGGGUUGUAAACUUCUUUUGUAAAGGAAUAAAGUGAGGCACGUGUGCCUUUUUGUAUGUACUUUAUGAAUAAGGAUCGGCUAACUCCGUGCCAGCAGCCGCGGUAAUACGGAGGAUCCGAGCGUUAUCCGGAUUUAUUGGGUUUAAAGGGAGCGUAGAUGGGUUGUUAAGUCAGUUGUGAAAGUUUGCGGCUCAACCGUGAAAUUGCAAUUGAUACUGGAAGCCUUGAGUGCAGUUGAGGUAGGCGGAAUGCGUGGUGUAGCGGUGAAAUGCUUAGAGAUCACGAAGAACACCGAUUGCGAAGGCAGCCUACUAAGCUGCCACUGACAUUGAGGCUCGAAAGUGUGGGUAUCAAACAGGAUUAGAUACCCUGGUAGUC